UAGGUACUCCCUCCGUCCGGAAAUACUUAUCAUUAAAAUAAAAAUAAAAAUGUAUCUAAAUGUAUUUUAGUUUUAAAUACAUUUUUUUUGUUCAUUUCAAUGAUAAGUAUUUUCGGACGAAGAGAGUAUCAG
This is a non-coding RNA of Triticum urartu, 132 nucleotides long. The record is from Rfam. NCBI's taxonomy places the organism in Eukaryota, Viridiplantae, Streptophyta, Magnoliopsida, Poales, Poaceae.